This 492-nucleotide ribosomal RNA is filed under the name uncultured bacterium. RNAcentral's name for it is "partial 16S ribosomal RNA". It matches the Rfam family "Bacterial small subunit ribosomal RNA", at positions 29 to 507 of the family's 1533-position model. The record is from RNAcentral.
AGUGAACGCUGGCGGUAGGCCUAACACGUGCAAGUCGAACGGCAGCACAGUAAGAGCUUGCUCUUACGGGUGGCGAGUGGCGGACGGGUGAGGAAUACAUCGGAAUCUACUUUUUCGUGGGGGAUAACGUAGGGAAACUUACGCUAAUACCGCAUACGACCUACGGGUGAAAGCAGGGGAUCUUCGGACCUUGCGCGAUUGAAUGAGCCGAUGUCGGAUUAGCUAGUUGGCGGGGUAAAGGCCCACCAAGGCGACGAUCCGUAGCUGGUCUGAGAGGAUGAUCAGCCACACUGGAACUGAGACACGGUCCAGACUCCUACGGGAGGCAGCAGUGGGGAAUAUUGGACAAUGGGCGCAAGCCUGAUCCAGCCAUACCGCGUGGGUGAAGAAGGCCUUCGGGUUGUAAAGCCCUUUUGUUGGGAAAGAAAAGCAGCAGAUUAAUACCCCGCUGUUCUGACGGUACCCAAAGAAUAAGCACCGGCUAACUUCGUG